GAGUUUGAUCAUGGCUCAGAGUGAACGCUGGCGGCAGGCCUAACACAUGCAAGUCGAGCGGCAGCGCGGGGGCAACCCUGGCGGCGAGCGGCGGACGGGUGAGGAAUGCAUCGGAAUCUACCUCGUUGUGGGGGAUAACCUCGGGAAACCGGGACUAAUACCGCAUACGACCUACGGGUGAAAGUGGGGGACCGCAAGGCCUCACGCGAUGAGAUGAGCCGAUGCCGGAUUAGCUAGUUGGCGGGGUAAAGGCCCACCAAGGCGACGAUCCGUAGCUGGUCUGAGAGGAUGAUCAGCCACACUGGAACUGAGACACGGUCCAGACUCCUACGGGAGGCAGCAGUGGGGAAUAUUGGACGAUGGGCGCAAGCCUGAUCCAGCCAUGCCGCGUGUGUGAAGAAGGCCUUCGGUUGUAAG
Molecule: ribosomal RNA, 417 nt
Filed under: uncultured Gammaproteobacteria bacterium
Lineage: Bacteria; Pseudomonadati; Pseudomonadota; Gammaproteobacteria
Description: bacterial SSU rRNA
Rfam family: Bacterial small subunit ribosomal RNA
Source: RNAcentral